Lemur catta (Ring-tailed lemur) is the source of this 1091-nucleotide long non-coding RNA. RefSeq lists it as uncharacterized. The transcript is spliced from 3 exons. The record is from RefSeq and is a predicted model, not a curated record. NCBI's taxonomy places the organism in Eukaryota, Metazoa, Chordata, Mammalia, Primates, Lemuridae.
CAGCCUAGGCGCCCCGCGGGCAUCCUCGGGCCGGGCUGCAGGGACCCCCGCUCCCCUUCCUCACCUAAAUUCCUCGCUGCGCCCCUCCCUCCCUGGCGCCUGGAGCCGCAUCCAGCCCGCGGUUGCCAGACCUGGGUGGCGUGCGGUCCUCCCCAGCCCCCGGCUUAGGUUCCUGCGUCCCCAGUCCUACCUCCCCUCUUUUGUAUCCCCUUUAGUCCCCUUCCCCCCCAUUCAAGCCAACUUCAGCCCCGGCGCUGCGCCCCCCUCCCGGGCCGGGCUCGAUUGGCCGCUGCAGGAGCUGUCAGACUUGAGUCCGGCGCUCUCAUUGGGCGAUUCUCGGGCCCGGCGGCCGUGCCAAAGGAGGGCGCACCCGGCGGGGGGCGGCCGGGCAGAGACAGCCGCAGGGAGACGGAGACAGAGUCCCUGGAGGGGUCGGAGGGGCUUGAGAACCAGACCCGGAAAUGGACGGGGGAGAUGCAGAGACAGGACCUCUGAGGCGCAGGAAGACAGCGACGGAAAAGAUGGAGAUACAGUGGCGGGGAGACAAGAAGCAGGAACGGUGCAGAGGAACUUGGCCUGUGGAAUGACGUGUCUACCCAGUUCCCUUUGCCCCUAAGCUGUCCUGCCUGAGGUUCUGGCAAUCUAAACAGUGGGAGAGUUGGGGGACCACAUCUCUACGCAGGGUAGAGGUCAUCUCUGCAGACCGGAAGAUAAACCUUGCUAGAGUCACAAAUUGGGAGGAGGAAAAUUCCCAGAGAUCUGAAUAAAAUAACCCCUGAGUAAUCCAUGAUUGGCUAAGUUGUAAAAAGGAACAUGAAUUUAGUCAACAAAAAUUCUUGAGCAUCCUCAAUGUGCAAAGCACUGUGCUAGUUGCUACCAGGAUAGAAAGAUGACCAAACUCUACUAGGAACUUACAGUCAGGGAGGGAAAAGAGCUAACCACUACUUCUAGGUCAGAGCAAAGUUCAAGUGUUCAACAGAGGUCCAAACAGCACAUUGGGUGUUGAGAGAAGGGAAACAUCACUUCCCACUGAAGGCCCAAAAAAGGCUCUGGAGGUCAAGUCUGAGUCCGGCAGGGAAGGAUGAAUAAGA